GAUCCUGGCUCAGGAUGAACGCUAGCUACAGGCUUAACACAUGCAAGUCGAGGGGCAGCAUGAACUUAGCUUGCUAAGUUUGAUGGCGACCGGCGCACGGGUGAGUAACACGUAUCCAAACUUCCGUUUACUCAGGGAUAGCCUUUCGAAAGAAAGAUUAAUACCUGAUAGUAUGGUGAGACUGCAUGAUAGCACCAUUAAAGAUUUAUUGGUAAACGAUGGGGAUGCGUUCCA
Molecule: ribosomal RNA, 234 nt
Filed under: uncultured bacterium
Lineage: Bacteria
Description: partial 16S ribosomal RNA
Rfam family: Bacterial small subunit ribosomal RNA
Source: RNAcentral